RNAcentral lists this ribosomal RNA (253 nucleotides) under uncultured bacterium. Its description in RNAcentral is "partial 16S ribosomal RNA". It matches the Rfam family "Bacterial small subunit ribosomal RNA", at positions 524 to 776 of the family's 1533-position model. The record is from RNAcentral.
CACGUAGGGCGCGAGCGUUGUCCGGAAUUAUUGGGCGUAAAGAGCUCGUAGGCGGCCUGUUGCGUCCGCUGUGAAAGCCCGGGGCUUAACCCCGGGUCGGCAGUGGAUACGGGCAGGCUAGAGGUAGGUAGGGGAGAAUGGAAUUCCUGGUGUAGCGGUGAAAUGCGCAGAUAUCAGGAGGAACACCGGUGGCGAAGGCGGUUCUCUGGGCCUUACCUGACACUGAGGAGCGAAAGCGUGGGGAGCGAACAGG